AUAUAAACUUCCUAAUUAAUAGAAACUUAAAAUUCCUCAUUUUACAAUGAAAAAUUAAAUCACAACAAUAAUAAAAGUUGAUUUGCUCGACUGCAUCUGUAUUGUUCCUUUAGCUGUUGUGGCAGCAUAGCAUGAUCAGUGUUUAUGACCAAGUAUCUGUUCACUGCCAUAAGGCAUAAUGUUAAAAUAGAAUUGCAUGUGAGAGCCACAAUGUGGCAUUCAAAGUUCCUUUGCUUGAAAAUUAAUUUUGAAAUCCAGACUGGAAAAUAAUUGGAGUUGCUGGAGAUUUGUUAGAAGAAGCAAAUAGAAGUUUCAUUCUCGUACUCUUUUGUUUCUUUUUCCUCGCAAGACUUUUCAGGAUUAUUGUAUAUCACUUGCAAACAUGGGAAUUAUAAACAAAAUUUUCAAGUAAUUUUUGCUUAUUGAUGCAGGGGAUGAGGCGCAGAAUUCAG
RNAcentral lists this unclassified non-coding RNA (452 nucleotides) under Hevea brasiliensis (rubber tree). Lineage: Eukaryota; Viridiplantae; Streptophyta; Magnoliopsida; Malpighiales; Euphorbiaceae. The record is from RNAcentral.